Molecule: long non-coding RNA, 207 nt
Filed under: Physcomitrium patens
Lineage: Eukaryota; Viridiplantae; Streptophyta; Bryopsida; Funariales; Funariaceae
Description: long non-coding RNA (PPAT_LNC013723)
Source: RNAcentral
GAAAGGAAUUGGAAUGUCAAGACGAGUAAUAGGUACCAAAGAAGAUCAACAAAGACUACUCAAGGAGUUUCAUGAGAGUCUAUGGGUAGGACAUAGAAGAAUUUGGACUACUUUUGCUAAAAUGAAGGAACGAUAUUGGUGGAAGAAUAUGUAUUGAGAUGUAACUUUUUUUGUAGAAUCUUAUGUAACUUGUCAAAUGUAUUGAAA